RNAcentral lists this ribosomal RNA (465 nucleotides) under uncultured Klebsiella sp. RNAcentral describes it as "bacterial SSU rRNA". It matches the Rfam family "Bacterial small subunit ribosomal RNA", at positions 338 to 795 of the family's 1533-position model. The record is from RNAcentral. Lineage: Bacteria; Pseudomonadati; Pseudomonadota; Gammaproteobacteria; Enterobacterales; Enterobacteriaceae.
CCUACGGGGGGCUGCAGUGGGGAAUAUUGCACAAUGGGCGCAAGCCUGAUGCAGCCAUGCCGCGUGUGUGAAGAAGGCCUUCGGGUUGUAAAGCACUUUCAGCGGGGAGGAAGGCGGUGAGGUUAAUAACCUCAUCGAUUGACGUUACCCGCAGAAGAAGCACCGGCUAACUCCGUGCCAGCAGCCGCGGUAAUACGGAGGGUGCAAGCGUUAACCGGAAUUACUGGGCGUAAAGCGCACGCAGGCGGUCUGUCAAGUCGGAUGUGAAAUCCCCGGGCUCAACCUGGGAACUGCAUUCGAAACUGGCAGGCUAGAGUCUUGUAGAGGGGGGUAGAAUUCCAGGUGUAGCGGUGAAAUGCGUAGAGAUCUGGAGGAAUACCGGUGGCGAAGGCGGCCCCCUGGACAAAGACUGACGCUCAGGUGCGAAAGCGUGGGGAGCAAACAGGAUUAGAUACCCGAGUAGUC